AAGUGAGACGUUAAGAUCAGCAGCUGUAUCAAAGCACAGAGCUGUCAAGUUCUGGGGGAGGCUAUUUGCCAGAUCAGAGCACAUAAACUUUUAGGAUAGAAACUAGAAUAUGAAUUAAGCUCAUAUCACUCAUAAAAGAGCUGAAUGCAUCUGAAACCAAAGUACACUGUCAGCCUCCUCCACUUGCUCCGGGCGCUGAUGCUUCGAUUAGCUAUGCAAGAAGCUACCUGCUAUUUUAGAAUUAUAUGAAGUCACCUCGGGGUAUCUACAAGCUUCUCACGCACAAGAUACUGACUUUUUUUUUUCCUCCUUAUUCUUGGCUUAGAGCACAGUUGUUGCUCCAUCCCGGUGCAAAAAUGUCUCAUGCUAAUCUCUUUGACCUGAAGUAAAUGCAGGCACCUUCGAAACAGGAGUCUUAGAGUCUACUUCUUACUCAACAGAUCCACAGCAAACGCCACUGACCUCAUCUUAUUCUGCCCUACUCCAAAUCGCCAGGGCUUAAUUAGACAUAUCUGGAACCAAGCCUGGCUUCUCCAAACCCAUCAUGGAUGAACUGGAUGAACUGAGCUGCAGCUAUGCAACGGCUUUUGUCUCUGUGGUUUAUACAAGUAAAGAAGGUGACUAAAAUCCAAGAGUUCUACUCUUGUGACGUGAAGACUAUGGCUUCUACGUGGUUCUGACCUAGGCUGUUUUGACCAUAUAAACUGUAAGAAAAAAAAAAGAAUAUGAAAUAGUUACUGCUACCAGUAUUUCAAAACGAAACCAAAUGCUCUAAAGCAUCACCCUGAAAUCAAAUUUCCAGUUGAUUAAGUGGAAGUUUGGAAGAGGGAGAGACGGAUGCAUUGGGAAGCUGUUGAGUAAGUAAUCUCUAGGCAUGGCCCGUGGCCCACGGAGCAGCACACAAGUUGAGUGUUCCAGAAAGAUUACAUGAGUUACAACCCUUGACCUUUUAUUCCCAGCUAGACAAGGAUUAGUUCUCCUCAGCAUGCAGGAAAAUGUGAAUGCAUUUUUCUAGGGCUAGUGCUAAGGCAGAGAAGCCACCAGUGGAAGGACCGUGAGUACUUCCUGUAUUAAUAUUAUCUCAACUCCUGGGAACAAUAGGCAAAUGCACUUGAAAAGCUACCCUUGUCCCUGGAAUCAAGGAGAACACUUUGCCAUUGGCUAAUUACUUAUUUAUUCAUUCAACAAAUAUUUAUUCAUAGUAUACUUAAGUUCUUGCAUGCAUGCAUCAUUACACUGGAAACACACUAUAGCAGGAAACCCUAUCUAAAUAAAUGCUAGUUUCUUUC
This is a long non-coding RNA of Aethalodelphis obliquidens (Pacific white-sided dolphin), 1289 nucleotides long. RefSeq lists it as uncharacterized. NCBI's taxonomy places the organism in Eukaryota, Metazoa, Chordata, Mammalia, Artiodactyla, Delphinidae. The transcript has 2 exons. The record is from RefSeq and is a predicted model, not a curated record.